Molecule: long non-coding RNA, 1205 nt
Organism: Gasterosteus aculeatus aculeatus (three-spined stickleback)
Lineage: Eukaryota; Metazoa; Chordata; Actinopteri; Perciformes; Gasterosteidae
Source: Ensembl
GAUAUCUGGUACCUUUGAGUGAAGCUAUUUUCACAGACCGGCUCCUUUUUUCAGGUGCUGCUGACGUCAGGAAAUGACUUUGUCCCUAAAUGUGUUCAUUUAGAUUAAGACGGAAGGUCAAAAAGCAAGAAGGGUCCAAACGAGGUGGACGGGCCGAUGAGAUAAACAAGGUUAAGAGAUAGAGAACGAUGAGAAUGUGGGUCAGGCGGUCAGGAUGAGCGUUAAUCAUUCUGCUGGACUAUUCAGGGAAAGUGGGCGGAGAUUCCUGAGUGGACGUGAAUGGCGGCAACGUGUUGGUCCUGCAGUGUGAGGAGAGAGAACAAUGCACGUCAACGGGAGUUUAGAAUGUGGCCUACUGUGACUCCAACGUAUUAAAAAAGGUGGGCGAUGACGUCACUGACGAAGGAGAGCUGCUGUUGGAGGAGGUGAGAGGAUGAGAGAAAACUAAGAAACCAGACAAAGGGCCGUGUAUAGAGAGCUGACUUUAAGAUGUGAUGUACAGACAGACUCGUCUUUCUGCCGCCAUAGAACCAGCUAUAGUUCUAAGAAUAUGAGAUCCUGCCUACAGAGCUGUCUGGUCUCCAGUUGGAAGUAACAUCCGUCGAUGCACAGCACCAGACUUCCUUCAAUCUCACGAACCUCAUGAACCUCAGCUGGAGGUGCUUCCUCCCCAACGGCAGGUCAAACAUCCCGACGAAUCCAGCUCUUUAAUCAAAUCAGAACUCAACCUGCGAAACACAAAGGUCAGGGUUCAGGCUCCUGACUGUCUGUUGGCGUCGGAGCGGCUCAGCGCCACGUCCUCUCUGCCGGGAGAGCGUCUCAUGGCUGAGCUCGUAGCUGCACGGGGCUCUGCUGUUUCCUCUACAAGACAAAUACCUAAAUGUCUUUUGAGCACCUGCGCUUCUUGAAGGUGCUUGUGAUGCUGAUAAGAGGUCAGCACACCGGGAGGUCACUGGUUCAUGAGUUGGCUCAUUGGCCGAGGGAGCUUUACAUGAUUAUCUUUUUUUUUACAAAAGAAAGACCCCAAAGAAACAAUAAAUCUCUGGCUGUUUCUUGAAAACAGAAAUUUCAAAUUGCAGCAUAAACAGUUCAUCAGCAAAUGAAACUAUUAAUAAAAAAUGGGCUGGUUGGCUUUAUGGGGCCAAACAAAAGGUGAAAGUUAGAAAAAAAUAAUUUCAUCCUUUUUGGUUCCCAGUAGCCUCGGG